This 478-nucleotide ribosomal RNA is filed under the name uncultured archaeon. RNAcentral describes it as "bacterial SSU rRNA". It matches the Rfam family "Archaeal small subunit ribosomal RNA", at positions 364 to 848 of the family's 1478-position model. The record is from RNAcentral.
AGUGUGACGGGGUUACCCAAAGUGUUCAAUUUUGAACUGUGGUAGGUGAGUAAUGUUCCCUACUAGAAAGGAGAGGGCAAGGCUGGUGCCAGCCGCCGCGGUAAAACCAGCUCUUCAAGUGGUCGGGAUAAUUAUUGGGCUUAAAGUGUCCGUAGCCGGUUUAGUAAGUUCCUGGUAAAAUCGGGUAGCUUAACUAUCUAUAUGCUAGGAAUACUACUAUACUAGAGGGCGGGAGAGGUCUGAGGUACUACAGGGGUAGGGGUGAAAUCUUAUAAUCCUUGUUGGACCACCAGUGGCGAAGGCGUCAGACUGGAACGCGCCUGACGGUGAGGGACGAAAGCCAGGGGAGCGAACCGGAUUAGAUACCCGGGUAGUCCUGGCCGUAAACGAUGCAUACUAGGUGAUGGCACGGCCAUGAGCCGUGUCAGUGCCGUAGGGAAACCGUUAAGUGUGCCGCCUGGGAAGUACGGUCGCAAGG